RNAcentral lists this small RNA (136 nucleotides) under Providencia sneebia DSM 19967. The record is from RNAcentral. Lineage: Bacteria; Pseudomonadati; Pseudomonadota; Gammaproteobacteria; Enterobacterales; Morganellaceae.
GCAAAAAAAGAGGCCUGGUAGAUUCCGAUUACCGGGCCUUGGGAAAUGGCUCUGGCAGAGCCGUGCGCUAAAAUUGCCAUUGAGACGUAACAAAGUACAAUUUAAUAGUAGCUUGCCAAAUCCAUUCUUACCACAU